UACGAAGGGGCUAGCGUUGCUCGGAAUCACUGGGCGUAAAGGGUGCGUAGGCGGGUCUUAAGUCAGGGGUGAAAUCCUGGAGCUCAACUCCAGAACUGCCUUUGAUACUGGGGAUCUCGAGUCCGGAAGAGGUAAGUGGAACUCCGAGUGUAGAGGUGAAAUCGUAGAUAUUCGGAAGAACACCAGUAGCGAAGGCGGCACUCUGGGCCGGUACUGACGCUGAGGAGCGAAAGCGUGGGGAGCAACAGG
RNAcentral lists this ribosomal RNA (249 nucleotides) under uncultured bacterium. RNAcentral's name for it is "partial 16S ribosomal RNA". It matches the Rfam family "Bacterial small subunit ribosomal RNA", at positions 524 to 775 of the family's 1533-position model. The record is from RNAcentral.